UGGGCAACGGUAGGUCAGUAUGCCCCGAAUCUCCCGGGCUACACGCGGGCUACAAUGGUUGGUACAAUGGGCAUCUACCCCGAAAGGGGAAGGAAUCUCUUAAAGCCAAUCGUAGUUCGGAUUGAGGGCUGCAACUCGCCCUCAUGAAGCUGGAAUCCGUAGUAAUCGCGUUUCAACAGAACGCGGUGAAUACGUCCCUGCUCCCGUU
This 208-nucleotide ribosomal RNA is filed under the name uncultured Methanosaeta sp. RNAcentral's name for it is "partial 16S ribosomal RNA". It matches the Rfam family "Archaeal small subunit ribosomal RNA", at positions 1132 to 1337 of the family's 1478-position model. The record is from RNAcentral. Lineage: Archaea; Methanobacteriati; Methanobacteriota; Methanomicrobia; Methanotrichales; Methanotrichaceae.